UGAUUGACUACUGAUUAUUGACACUUGAGCAUGGUGGUUUUCCCUUUGGAAUCCUGGCCCACUGCUCUUCCCUUUGCAGGAAGAAGACACUUACAUUACCUUGUUAAUAACAUGAAGACAUCUUUCAACAGAAGCUUCAGAGGCCAAUAAUUUUGAGAUCUUGAUGGAUAGAGGAAAGAGUUUCUCAAAUCUGAGCAAUACAGGGAGAAUAUCUAUAAGUAUUGUAUUGGGGAAGGUCAGGUAGCAUACUGUACUAGAGAGGAAAACUUGUUGAAUUGUGGUGGGGGAAUCUAAAGAUGUUACACUAGGAAGUAAGCAAAAGAAAGAGGCUGAAUCUUGGGCCCCUCCCCUACACUACUUCCUGUUCUUCCUUCCCAACUGUCUUGAUGGAGAUUUUCUCACAGAUGCUGGCAACCACUCUAGUCCAGGGACCUAUAAGACAGGAAGAGAGAGCAAGAGAGCAGUCUCUGACAGAGUUCAGCUACAGAGAGAGAGUGGGGGAGGAACAAGAAGAAAAAACUGAAAUUUCCAGGAGAGAACCAGAAGCUUGGAGAAGUCCCACCAGCCACUCUCUCACUUCCAGCUUGGAGCCAGAGGGAAGAGGUAGAUCUCCUAGGCUGGGAAGAAGCCUGUCUCUCUCUGGAGAUCAACUGCCUCUUUCUGAAUCUCUGGAUGCCUCUCACUCAACUCUCAAUAACAGCAAUCAAGGCCAUCAAUGGAUAUUGUGGACUGGGACUUUGAAGAAAGCUGUCCAUAGAGAUCCCUUUCAAAGAUCUCACUCUCCAUAUCUCUCUCCCUAUCUAUGCCUGGACUCCUGUAUUUAAGUAAUUAGCUCAGGAAUAGGGACCAACAGGCAGCUGGUAAAAAGAGGGAUUAAAGCUGAGAAGCCUUGAACUUCUAGUCUUUAGAGGACCAAUUUGCCAGAGGGGACAAAUUGCAGGGCUCACUAUUCACCCAGUUCCCUACUUGAUACCUUACCACACCUUCCCUGCUUGAACCCAAAUAAAUCAUCUAUUACUUUAGAUUUAGAUCUAGGC
This 1037-nucleotide long non-coding RNA is filed under the name Monodelphis domestica (gray short-tailed opossum). Its description in RNAcentral is "lncRNA (ENSMODG00000036755.1)". Lineage: Eukaryota; Metazoa; Chordata; Mammalia; Didelphimorphia; Didelphidae. The record is from RNAcentral.